RNA transcript from Drosophila elegans, 465 nucleotides. RefSeq lists it as uncharacterized. NCBI's taxonomy places the organism in Eukaryota, Metazoa, Arthropoda, Insecta, Diptera, Drosophilidae. The record is from RefSeq and is a predicted model, not a curated record. The transcript has 2 exons.
CGCAUUCAGACAGGCCGUACCUCAAAGGGAGCACAAGCAUAAGUAGGCUCUAAGUCUCAUAUCAAACCAUUUCACCAUACUGUCAUAUUCUGCAUAUACAGUCUAAUUAGCUGGAAGCCAAUAAAGAUGCUGGUCUCACGACGUGCCGCCGACGGGAUUGAGCCCUCGCAUUUCAUCGACUUGACACGGGAGGAGAAAUACAUUUGCGAUGAAAACGGGAACAAAUACUUAUGCCCCAUUUGCUACGAGCCACCGUUGAGGAAAGUGAUCACCAACUGCGGCCAUAUAUUUUGCCUGGAAUGUCUGAACACCGCCUUGAAAGUAAAGCUCUGGUGCCCCCUUUGCAAGACAGAAGUGACCAGAAUGCAACGCAUAUUUACCUAAUGCCAAGUUUGCUGCAUAAUUACACUCAGUUCCAAUAUUUGUUGCUGUUUUGUUGCCGAUAUUAAAUGCCGCAAUCGCCAA